ACCUGGGUGGCUCAGUCGUUAAGCAUCUGACUUUGGCUCAGGUCAUGAUCUCACGGUUCAUGAGUUCGAGUCCCAUAUUAGGUG
Molecule: transfer RNA, 84 nt
Filed under: Felis catus (domestic cat)
Lineage: Eukaryota; Metazoa; Chordata; Mammalia; Carnivora; Felidae
Also listed under: 1 other name
Rfam family: tRNA
About the family: Transfer RNA (tRNA) molecules are approximately 80 nucleotides in length. Their secondary structure includes four short double-helical elements and three loops (D, anti-codon, and T loops).
Source: Rfam by way of RNAcentral